This 23-nucleotide microRNA is filed under the name Brugia malayi. RNAcentral's name for it is "bma-miR-9508-5p". The record is from miRBase by way of RNAcentral. Lineage: Eukaryota; Metazoa; Nematoda; Chromadorea; Rhabditida; Onchocercidae.
CCCUGUCUACUGAUUGGAUUGCU